Molecule: non-coding RNA, 243 nt
Organism: Pelobates cultripes (western spadefoot toad)
Lineage: Eukaryota; Metazoa; Chordata; Amphibia; Anura; Pelobatidae
Source: the annotation of a GenBank genome assembly
CCUUACCCGACACGGGAAACAAAGAUGGGUCGGAAGCACAAAAAAACUAGAGCUGACAAGGACCCUACCACCCACGAUAUCGGGGAACUUCUCCGGCGCUCGCAAAAGACCGCAUGGGACAAAAUGGCGGCAGGUGAGGAAGCUUACUCCUAUUCCUCAGAUGACUUCUCCAUAGACCCCGGGGAAGGUGCAGCAUAUGUCCCACCACCCACCUCAAAGCCUCAGCGCACCCCUACAGAAGAG